Molecule: small RNA, 99 nt
Filed under: Brumicola nitratireducens FR1064
Lineage: Bacteria; Pseudomonadati; Pseudomonadota; Gammaproteobacteria; Alteromonadales; Alteromonadaceae
Source: RNAcentral
UGUUUAGACCUAAACACAAUAUCCGCAGUAAAAGUUAGCGCACGGCUCAGCAAUGAGCCAUUCCCCUAAGCCUGGAACGAUUGUUCCGGGCCUUUUUAU